CCUGUCUACAGACAAUCACCCACUGCUACCAGUUAGCAGAGAUUCUGAGAUUCUGAAUUAAAUUAAAGGAACACUCUGCAUUCCUAAAGCAUUUUAGUUUGCUGAAAUGCUUUGUGUAAGAGUGUACCCGCUUUUUUUGAUUAUACAAAAAGCGCAGAUCUCAAUAGAAAUUGACAAUUUUAUAAACAAGCCUUGUUACAUCCUCCUGGUUAUUAAUCAGACAAAUGGACCUGUAACUUCCUGGUAGUUUAGCUCAGUGGCACUAAACUAAAGAAGCAGGCAGCAGCUUCAUUUGGGGCAUAUCUACAAAACAGGCAUUUUUAUAUAUAUAUUUUUUUUUAUUAUUUAGCAAGUGGAGUGUCCAUUUAAUACAUGAAAUUCUAUCUAUGGCCCUCACCCAUUAUGAUUAGGGAAACUCAAAUCAUUAAUAUUCACAGUUUCUCUUCCAUAUGCUCUCCACAAAACUGACAGUAGAUGCUCCUAAACAAGCAAAGAGAUAAACCGCAAAAUCCUAUAAAUUAUAAAAUGAAAAAGAUAAUGAUGCAGUACCACCUGUGUGCGUAAAAUGGUCCUCACAAACACAAGUAUUAGAGGGUCUUCAAUAUAAAUCAAUUUUCUUCAUAUCUCCAUAGUUCAUCAAUCCUCAGCAGAAUAAGGAUAAGAACCUCAAUAGAAUGAAAUGAGAUACAAAUAGUGCAUGAAGGCAAACAAAUGAAAUCAUCAGUGCAUUUAAUAUAUACAUAACGUAAAACAUAGAGAAGUAUGUAAAUAACUUCACCGGUGAUGAGGUCACACAAUGCUUCCUGCCCAACGCAUUUCAUCACUCUUGUUAGUACAUACUCCUGCCUGAUCAUCUGUUAUACAGAUGUGAGUGGCACUCAGAGUAAAAUGACGUAUAUCUCCCACAAUAUAUGCCUGUUUUUCUGUGCUCAGGUCUCCUGUAUCCUGCUUCUGAUAAAGAAGCAUUUUUCUUUUUUUCAUUUUAAUUUUUCAGGACAUGUAUUCUAGAAAGAUUAACUGCUCUAUAUUGCCAGACACAAAACAAUGCCCUAAAUAAAGCCGGGCUCUCUUUAAUAACUUUUUUUGUAUUUCAACAAACAAUCAUAGAAUAGAAACGAGGCAACAGCCUUAAACUCGAUGGGGAACCUUAAAUUUGAUGUGGAACAUUCCAUCAUUGAAAAAAAAUAACGAAAACAAUUUAAUGCAAAUUCACUCUUUAAAUAAAUGUUGCCCAAUAUGAGUGAUUUGGUUUCAUUCCACUGCAUUGCCACUUUGUAUAAUAUCACAGUCCCCCUUAUGUACAUUAAUUCGAUUAUGUAUUCUUUGUGCACAUAUUUUCCCAGGAUUAUACUCUCUAGCAGAAAGCACAGCAGAUGCAGCAUUUAUUCCCAUGACUUUACAGUCGAAGCCCAGUUGAAGAUCCUAUUUUAUCACUACACCAACAUCAGUGAACUGUGAAUUGAAUUUUCUCAGCUCCUGAGUACCUGAGGGUUCAUGAGCCAGACGUGGAUAAUUUGCAGAUUUACAAAGUUUGAUAAGCUACUUUCCUCACUGUUGCUCGGAUAUUGCAAAGAAAAACAACCUAUAGAGCCACCUACAUGGUUUACUGACGUGAGAAUUGUUGGGAAUUCAAAAUGAAAUUCAAAUUUUAUAUCAAAAUAGUUGAACUGCAAGCAUAGCUAACUUGGCUGAUUUGUCCAAUUCAGCUACAUUAUCUGUAAAAGGACACUCAAGCUUGCUUUAUGUGUAAAUAGUGUGUCCUCUUUUCAAUUGACAAAAAGUGCAGAUCUCAAUAGAAAUUAACCUUGUUACACCCCCCUGGCUGUCAAUCAGACAACAGGUCCUGUCACUUCCUGGUUUGGUUAUCUCAGUGGAGAUAAACUCAAGAGGCAGCAUUUGCCCAGAGAACCUGCCUUGCAAAGACGUCUCAUUGAACUGCAUUGGGAAGUCUGUGAUUGGACAGCCACAGAAAGUUUGGGCGGGGUUAGAAGGGGAGGGCUUGCAAAAAGUUUCAUACAAGAAAUAUGCAGCUUUUGCAAGUUGUUUUUAAAUGUACACCAGAUUAAAAAAAAGCAUUAUGAAAUGCAUUUAUGUUUUCAUUCGAGGUAUGUCUACUAAACAGGGUUUUUUACUUUUUUUAUUUGGGCAGUGGCGUGUCACUUUUAAAUUUUUGGUUUACGUUGAAUUCACUUUGAAUUGCUGACAUUUCUUUACUUUAGUAAAUAACCCUUCUUAUUGGGUGAAAUGUAUUUUAACUUUGUUUUAACAAAAAAAACAUAGACAUUCCACCAUCUGCUCCUUUUUAAUAUUUUGACCUAACAUGCUAACAAAGUUUAAUAUAAUACAGAUAGUACAGAUAAUAUACAAUAUGACCUAUUUGCUAACUUUUCAUUUAUAUUUCUUUUUAGUUGGCAAUGCAUAUAUUGCAC
RNAcentral lists this long non-coding RNA (2429 nucleotides) under Pelobates cultripes (western spadefoot toad). The record is from RNAcentral. Lineage: Eukaryota; Metazoa; Chordata; Amphibia; Anura; Pelobatidae.